CACAAUCUCAUUGCUAUCAUAUUUCAUUUAAUUGAGGCACCUCCAUCUUCUUACAGAAUUCCAAGAUGUCCUUUGGCUGAGAAGGCCAGUGAGGCCUGAUCGCUGAAGUAGACAAACUGAGAGACUUGGAGGCUCAGCUAAACUCUUCGGCGCAACAGAACAGAGCUUUGGGAGCCAAUUUCUUUGCCACAGUGAAAGGAAUGUGCAAACUGAAAGACAAUGAAGGUAUCUUCACAGAUCCAGUGAAGGGAGUCUACUACUUCACAUUAUGUACAUUUGUCUACAAUGACCACAAGAGUGCUGAUGGUGACAAUACCAUUUUGAAUCAGAAUAAUGGGGACAGGGUCUGUGUGGAACUGUGGGAGCAGUGCCAGGUGUAAGACAACAAUGAUGGGCACACUACCUUCAGUGGCCUUCUGCUUUUUCCUGUAAAAGAGACGUUAUAACCUGUAAAUGAGAAUUACCUCCCUGCCAUGAAAUGCACACUAGGUGUGUCCCAAUAAUCUCCUUUCUCCUGAAGCGUGUACUCUUUCACUAAAAGCAUUGGAUUGGUGGAGGCAUGGGCUAGUGGUAAUUUCCAACAUAUUUCUUAUUCCAGUCAUCAGUAAUUUCCUCUAAAUUAGUGACGGGAAGUGAACAAGUGCACACUUUGGGAGGAAUGAGAGCUAAUUGGGACAGAGCCUCUGUCUGUAAUGAAGCAGGAAUUCUCUUGACGGUGACUGAAUUUAGUGAGAAUUAACUCCGCUGAAUCCCAAACCAGCCCUGUUUUCUCAUGGACUGCUCUUGCAAGUUGUAUUUUUGUCUUUUUAAAGUUUUCAUAUCCACAAUAUUUCUGACCUUUUUUGUGAUUUGUUUAUGGAAAAUCUAGAAAAAGCCUGGAUUAUAAUUUAUGAAUUUCUCAUGCCUCCAUGUUUUUUUUCUAUGCUGUUAAUUUAGUUUAGUGUUUUUAACGACUAUGAUAGAUUACCUGUAGACAUUGUUUUUGAACCGUUGGUUGAACUUCAGUAUGCCAAUGCAAUUCAUUAGACGUUUUCAGACUCUGACUGUCAUGUGGUCCUCAGUGUUCUCUGUAUAAUAAUGUACUUUCCAUCUCCUCUAAAAUAAGGUCCAUCUUUGCCUUGAGCCACCAGGUAUAUUUUUAGAGUGAAUAGGAUGACCUUCAUUUACUCUUGGGUACUGUCCUAGAAUCCAGAAAAGUAAUUUAAAAUAUUACGUUUUGAGCCACAAAGAUGCAGCCACUUCUUUCUGCAAAGGUUGUUCAGAGUGUUGUUUUAUCUAGACUUACUCAAAAACACUGACAGUUUGGAUGGAUUAAUUAUUAAUGAAAUAUUUAGUGAGUUCAGGAGAUCUUUUUGAACCUUAUGCAUUGGAAAAAUGUCUGACAAAAUGUUCCAAUAGAAAUGGAGCCAAAUAAAUAGACAAGACGAUGGGCCAAUUUUAACGUCCGCUACAUAAAGUGGUCAGGGUGUAUAACAACAUCCUAUUGUACUGGGCCCAGUUUCCCAAUAGCAUCUUAAAGCUAAGUUCGUUAGAACCUUGGUAGGAGCAUUGUUAACUCCAAGCUGUUUCCCAAACCAGCGUUGCUAAAGUUGCCCUUGAAAAUGCUCGUUAUUUAACCAUUGCCUCAAACCAGUCGUUAGAUGCUUUUUUUGCCCUUCCGCUGUAUACACAAAAUCAAGAUGUUUCUGUCUUUCUGUGACUGCAGAUAACUUCAGAACGAAUGUGACUACAAAUUUGUGAAUUUUGUUGCAGUUGUUACUAACAAGUGAAAGAUAUAAAAAUGCUUCUAAUGAAAACCGAGUUAAUACAGUCGAGGCUACAUAGACCUAUAUAUUUUUGAGUUUUAAGGUAUUUGUGUCUGUAAUUGCCGCCUCAAAAUAGUUAAUGGUGAGUAAGGUGUGCAAUGAUGUACCUAAACUUGAUUUAGUGGAUAAUUAUUGGGUAAGCAUUAGAAUAAGCCGCCUCAAUAUUGUAGCCGUAGGUGAUAAACUCUUUAGAAGCUGAUCCGUCAUUAGUAUUGUGGAAUAAUUCUAAUGUUAAGGUAAGAUUUGAAAGGGAGGAUGCUGAUCUGAGAGCAGUGCUGUCUUUCUUUUGAUCCUUUCAGUAUCGACACAAGCCUCAACACACACAUUGAACAUUCUCUGCAUGGUGUUUUGGGAAACGAAUGUUACAUCUUUGGCCGUUGUAGGAAAGAUGCAUUGUUAAAACACUCGUAACCCAAAGUUUUAUCGCUAUCAGGAAACUAAGCCCUGUUCUUGUGAAGUCAAAAGCUGUUUCCAUUAACUUAGGGAUCAAUUUGACAACAUCUGGUGAAAUGGCAGAGCGCCAAAUUCAAAUUAAAUUAUUAGAAAUAUUUAACUUUCUUACAAUCACAGGUGUAAUACACCAAAUUAAAGCUUUACUUAAUGUUAAUCCAGCCACUGUGUCAGAUUUCAAAAAGGCUUUACGGGGAAAGCAAACCAUGCUAUUAUCUGAGGAUAGCACCCCAUCAAACAAACACAGACAAUCAUAUUUCAUCCUGCCAGACUCGACACAAAACGCAGAAAUAAAGAUAUAAUUCAUGCCUUACCUUUGAAGAGCUUCUUCUGUUGGCACUCCAAUAUGUCCCAUAAACAUCACAAGUUGUCCUUUUGUUCAAUUAAUUCCGUCGAUAUAUAUCCAAAAUGUCAAUUUAUUUGGCGCGUUUGAUCCAGAAAAACACUGGUUCCAACUCGCGCAACAUGACUACAAAAUAUCGUAUAAGUUACAUGUAAUCUUUGUCCAGACAUUUCAAACAUCUUUCCUACUACGAUUUUACGUAUUUUUUAUCAUAAUUAAUCGAUAAAAUUUAA
This is a long non-coding RNA of Salvelinus fontinalis (brook trout), 2831 nucleotides long. RefSeq lists it as uncharacterized. Lineage: Eukaryota; Metazoa; Chordata; Actinopteri; Salmoniformes; Salmonidae. The record is from RefSeq and is a predicted model, not a curated record. The transcript is spliced from 3 exons.